UCACCGAACCCGGAGGACACCAUGAAGUUCAAGCACAUCCUGAUGCUCACCCUCGGUGCUGCCGCAGUGGCCGCGCUUCCUGCCAUGGCCCAGGCCGCUCCUCAGCAGACCGGGCAGGGCGCCGGCGCCAGCGCGCAGAAGGCCGAUGACGCCAAGGCCAAGACCGAAGCCGAGCGCAAGGCCGAGCGCCGCGCCGCUGCUGCGGCACACAAGCCCAAGGCCGACGCCGCCACGCGCGAGGAAGAGGAAGAGGAAGAAGAAAAGCCGGCGCGCUGAUUCCAUCGCGCGACGGUAUAACGCCACACGGACGCCCCGGCCUUGGUCGGGGCGUCUGCAUUUGCGCGCCAGGCGCAG
This 354-nucleotide small RNA is filed under the name Xanthomonas arboricola. RNAcentral's name for it is "sRNA sX6". It matches the Rfam family "Proteobacterial sRNA sX6". The record is from RNAcentral. Lineage: Bacteria; Pseudomonadati; Pseudomonadota; Gammaproteobacteria; Lysobacterales; Lysobacteraceae.